AUAUUUUGCUACAGUUUCCAAAAAACAUUAACCUCAAGAAAAUAAUGUCUUAGGAUUAUUGUACUUUCAAGAAGUUUUAUUGGUUACUCCAACAUCUGUCUUAAAGUUUCAAACUAGGUCGGUUCCAUAGGUAACGAGUGACUUUAUAAAGCGAACUAAUAUCGUUUCAAUCCUUUGAAACGAAACAAAAGUCGACAUAAUAAACAUUUACGAAUACGUUUAUAAAGUGCUUGAUUAGUGAAAGUCAACUUAAAAUUAUCUUUACCUGAUUAAUUCUCUAACGACAAAAAAUUUUAUCUGUGAAUGUAUCAUUGAUAAAAAAUUUAAUCAAUAAAUAAAACAGUAAAAAAGUUUUCAGAAAAGUUUUAUUAUAAUCUUUAAAUAGAUGUAGAAAUUAUUUUAAAAAAAUAAUCAUUCUUUUCGACUUUAAAAAUUUAUAAAAUUGUGAGAAAGGUUUAUAACCUAUAAUUUACUCAACUCAUCAAUUCUUUAAUAUUAUUAGUUAGUAAAUUAUCACGCAAGAUGGCACCAGUAACCUAAUAUUCAUGAUAUAUAUUGCAUUACCCCAUGAGAUUAAAUAAUUUUCUAAAAUCGAUUAUCUAAACGAUUUUCAUGAAACAAGAUAACUGUGAAACAUAAUCGAUCUAUUAUUGUUGAAACAAUUUUGAAAUGAGAUAAAUACGUUUCGUCUAAGUCUUACAUUUGCACAAUUGAUUUCGAUAUUUUUUGAGACCAAGAAUGAUGACUACACAGAUGAUCCACAGUCAUGAUAAUGAUAACAUUGAAAUAUGGAGACGAAACAAAGCGAUGUGAAAUCGAAUGUGAUAUAUGGACGACCGAGGUCACGAGAAGAGAAUUAUACACGAUUAAAAGAUUAAAUCGAUGAAGGAUUAAGUCCCAACACAACUUGUCCCAUACUAAUGAGUGUCUUAAAGAUACCGGAAGUCAAGAACUAGAAAAGGAACCUGCGAGAAGUUUUAACGAGGUAAACAUGCAAACAUCCCAGGUGACGAAUUCAUUUCUACACCUACAUGAACAAGGGAUAUUGAAAAAAGAUGGAUUAUACUAAAGAUCUACACUUGAAGAAUAAUAAUUUCAAAGAAUAAAUCGUGACCAUGAUAGACUUCCUGCUUCCUGUUUCGAUUCAUUCUUUAUGAAUAUAUCACGUCGUUCGAUUCAUUAAAACCCUGAGUGUGAAUCGAAGGAUAUUUUGAAAGUAAGCGUGAAAUAUUUGUAACAAAUAAUUCGUUUAUUGAAUAUUAAUAUAAUAUUUAAUAACCAUAACCAUUUAUAUGGUUUCAAAUAUUUUAUUUAAUUUAAUUCUUAAUUUUAUCGAAUUUCUCCAAGAUAAUCUUCAAUAUUCAAAUUAAUUGUUAUUUUAUUUUGAAAGUUUUAACAAAAAGAAAAAAAUUACUUAAAGAGUAAGUAAUAUUAAAAAUUAAUAUUUCUUUCUUAUAAUAUGAUAAUAACAAUUUUUAUUUUUAAAAUUAAAAUAAUAAAUUGUAUCUCAAGUUUUUAUUUUUAUUACAAAUAAAAUAUUUAAUCAUAAAGCAUCUAAAAUAAAAUGAUAAAGUAAAAUAAUAUAUAAAAUUAGAAUAAAGCAGCAUCUAUUAAAACACAUUUCUCGGCUAUGAUUAUGCAUGAUGCUUUGUAAUGUCGUCGACAUUGGAAAAAGAGAAUUAUUGACGUCGUGAAAAACAUACGACUUUAUCCGUAAAAGUGCGUUGAAAUUGAUACUGGAAACGCAUUUAUGUGAACGAUCCCGUCCUGAAAACGGAUGCGCAUUGUCAUCAAUGACAUUCGACGAAUAACAAUAAUGACUUCCACAACGCAGAAACAGGAUUAAAAAAGAGAAAAGAGGAGAUAGAAAAGAAAAAAAUAUGAAAUGUGUCAGAAUCGAUGCGUAACAAGCAUACAUUUUGCUUUACAUAAAUUCUUAUCAGUGAAUGGUAACACGUGUUACAGGCAAGAUACUAGGAUUAUUUUUGCAUAAAGAACUAUUGGAAAUCGGAUCGAAAAUGAAAAUGGAGGAUCUGGUUGAAGAUGAAUCUUUGAUUAAAAGAAAAAAUAUAUUCAAAUAAAAAUUUGAAAUAUUCAAAAAACUAAGAAGGAAUAUGAAAAAUUCAUUUUUAUUUUUAGUACUUUUAUAUUUGUUGGUAAGUAAAAGAGAUCAAUUUUAAUGUGAUAUUGGUUGAAAGAGAAAAUAAUUAAUUAUGUCUAGAAAUAUAAAGCUUAUGAAAUAAAUUAAUAAAUUUUACGAAGAUUUACAAAACCAAUAAAAUUAUUCAACCGAUUUUCAUUUUAUUGCGAGAAAUAUUUUUUAGUCCACACAUUUAUCACUGAAGAAAAUGUCAUGAGUUAAAAAUCGACACUUCAUGCGAAAGAGCAUCGUUUUAUCAUUCCAUCAGUCUUCAAAAGAUUUCCUUCCCAACAAUUAGACAAAAUGUGAAAAAAGAAAUUCUCAUGCAAAAAAAAAUUUCACGCGAUAAGAUACACGAGUCGCAUAAUUUGCGACAAUUAAUUCUAUACGACGACAAGAUUCGUCGUAUAUAUCUGCUUCCGUGGUUUGUGUAUGUUUCUCAUUAGCACGAAAUAAUAUUCUUUCAAUAACGAGAAGGCGCCGGAUGAGUCACGAAGAGGUUCGACGACCGACGCGCCACAGUACGGCGUAGCUCGGCCUUUAUGCGAAGCCAAACGAUGGAGGAAGCAAAGGACUCUAUGGCUAUUAAAAGAAACGUGGUAAAUUAGAAUAAGGGAAUGUCGACGAGGGAUGCAACGACACAAUGGAGAAUUUACGACCUGGACGUUUUGCUAUUUUCCUCCUUCGUGGGAUAUACAAGUAAGAAACCUCCUCUUUUCUCGUUCGACACAUUGUUUACCAAUUGAGGAAAUCAACCAAUGUUACUACCGUUUCUUGACUUUAAUCAUCAAUCCAGAUAAUUCCAACGGUAUUGCAAUCUCCAAAGGAAAACGAAGAAAAGGGACAAGUUUUUCUUUUGUUUGACUUGUAUUUAAUUGGCUUAAUGCGUUGUUUAAGGUAUCAGGAUGCUGAGUCUAUAGUGUUCUCUUUUUUAAGUUAGUAAAUAUGGUAAGUUAUAAAUAGUUAUGUGUAUUUGAAAAUUCAGCAAGAUGUUUGGAUAAUUUAAAUAAUUAGAAUGAUAGUAUAGAUUGAAUAUAAAAUAUGAAUCAU
RNAcentral lists this long non-coding RNA (3190 nucleotides) under Apis florea (little honeybee). RNAcentral's name for it is "uncharacterized LOC105736211". The record is from RNAcentral. Lineage: Eukaryota; Metazoa; Arthropoda; Insecta; Hymenoptera; Apidae.